This is a small nucleolar RNA of Callithrix jacchus (white-tufted-ear marmoset), 96 nucleotides long. Lineage: Eukaryota; Metazoa; Chordata; Mammalia; Primates; Cebidae. The record is from Ensembl.
AUCCUUUGGUGCUUCAUAACCGUAGGUUUCCAGGCUCACGCAUGAGAUGGCCCUCCAGCCUUGUUACAACGGCUGCACUGAAUUACCCAUCUGACG